GGUGGUGUGGCCGAGUGGUUAGGCAGCAGACUGCAAAUCUGUGUACGGGGAUUCGAUUUCCUCCACCACCUCCA
RNAcentral lists this transfer RNA (74 nucleotides) under Pseudobdellovibrionaceae bacterium. RNAcentral's name for it is "Bdellovibrionaceae bacterium tRNA-Cys". It matches the Rfam family "tRNA". From Rfam's summary of the family: Transfer RNA (tRNA) molecules are approximately 80 nucleotides in length. Lineage: Bacteria; Pseudomonadati; Bdellovibrionota; Bdellovibrionia; Bdellovibrionales; Pseudobdellovibrionaceae. RNAcentral also lists the same sequence under 1 other name. The record is from RNAcentral.